GACAACAGAGACCCGAUCAACACAAGCUGCCACAGCCAACAAAACACAAACACUGAUCUUCAGACAUGCAAAGAACACGCUUUGUGUUUAACGUGCUGCAGAGGAGGAAGAGUUAGUGUGGCUCCUGAUACCUCACUUUUAUAUCAGUCACCUAAAACUCCGUCAGUGGUUAGAACCACUUUCUGCCGUCAUACUCAAGUCUCUGGGCAGCUCUCUGAAGGUGAAUGCUAAACUUCCUCACAGCAGAGUGUGUGAGGGCUCGGCCGAAGGCAGCAGAGCGGGACAAAAAUGAACUCAUGUGAAGCCAUGAACGCUCUCAG
This is a long non-coding RNA of Melanotaenia boesemani (Boeseman's rainbowfish), 320 nucleotides long. RefSeq lists it as uncharacterized. The transcript is spliced from 2 exons. NCBI's taxonomy places the organism in Eukaryota, Metazoa, Chordata, Actinopteri, Atheriniformes, Melanotaeniidae. The record is from RefSeq and is a predicted model, not a curated record.